Molecule: unclassified non-coding RNA, 279 nt
Filed under: plant metagenome
Description: partial contains small subunit ribosomal RNA, internal transcribed spacer 1, and 5.8S ribosomal RNA
Source: RNAcentral
UUUCCGUAGGUGAACCUGCGGAGGGAUCAUUAUUAUAUACCCCAGGUGCGAGGUCUUACGCUUCGCCGACCUGUCGUGCACCCCCGCUUGCCCUCACACACAUCCAUCUCACCCCUCUGGGCACCACCCCGUGGGUCCCCCUUUGGCUUGUUCCGCCGGGCGCUUACGCUUUACCCCCCACUUUCUCUGCAGUGUAGCAUGUAUUUUUUGUUUUUUCUAUCACGCAAUCAAUACAAAUUUCAACAUCCGAUCUCUUGGGUCGCGCACCGAUGAAGAAAA